This 501-nucleotide ribosomal RNA is filed under the name uncultured bacterium. Its description in RNAcentral is "partial 16S ribosomal RNA". It matches the Rfam family "Bacterial small subunit ribosomal RNA", at positions 30 to 523 of the family's 1533-position model. The record is from RNAcentral.
AUUGAACGCUGGCGGCAGGCUUAACACAUGCAAGUCGAGCGGGGGAAGGUAGCUUGCUACCGGACCUAGCGGCGGAUGGGUGAGUAAUGCUUAGGAAUCUGCCUAUUAGUGGGGGACAACAUCUCGAAAGGGAUGCUAAUACCGCAUACGUCCUACGGGAGAAAGCAGGGGAUCUUCGGACCUUGCGCUAAUAGAUGAGCCUAAGUCGGAUUGGCUAGUUGGUGGGGUAAAGGCCUACCAAGGCGACGAUCUGUAGCGGGUCUGAGAGGAUGAGCCGCCACACUGGGACUGAGACACGGCCCUGACUCCUACGGGAGGAAGCAGUGGGGAAUAUUGGACAAUGGGGGGAACCCUGAUCUAGCCAUGCCGCGUGUGUGAAGAAGGCCUUAUGGUUGUAAAGCACUUUAAGCGAGGAGGAGGCUACUCUAGUUAAUACCUAGGGAUAGUGGACGUUACUCGCAGAAUAAGCACCGGCUAACUCUGUGCCAGCCGCCGCAGUAA